RNAcentral lists this transfer RNA (87 nucleotides) under Deltaproteobacteria bacterium. RNAcentral describes it as "tRNA-Leu". It matches the Rfam family "tRNA". Rfam says of the family: Transfer RNA (tRNA) molecules are approximately 80 nucleotides in length. Their secondary structure includes four short double-helical elements and three loops (D, anti-codon, and T loops). Lineage: Bacteria; Pseudomonadati; Myxococcota; Myxococcia. The record is from RNAcentral. RNAcentral also lists the same sequence under 1 other name.
GCCCGGAUGGCGGAACUGGUAGACGCAAAGGACUUAAAAUCCUUCGACCGAACGGUCGUGCGGGUUCGAUUCCCGCUCUGGGCACCA